RNAcentral lists this ribosomal RNA (543 nucleotides) under uncultured bacterium. RNAcentral's name for it is "partial 16S ribosomal RNA". It matches the Rfam family "Bacterial small subunit ribosomal RNA", at positions 355 to 914 of the family's 1533-position model. The record is from RNAcentral.
UAGGGAAUCUUGCGCAAUGGGCGAAAGCCUGACGCAGCCAUGCCGCGUGAAUGAUGAAGGUCUUAGGAUUGUAAAAUUCUUUCACCGGGGAAGAUAAUGACGGUACCCGGAGAAGAAGCCCCGGCUAACUUCGUGCCAGCAGCCGCGGUAAUACGAAGGGGGCUAGCGUUGCUCGGAAUUACUGGGCGUAAAGGGCGCGUAGGCGGAUAUUUAAGUUGGGGGUGAAAGCCCGGGGCUCAACCUCGGAAUAGCCUUCAAUACUGGAUAUCUUGAGUUCGGGAGAGGUGAGUGGAAUGCCGAGUGUAGAGGUGAAAUUCGUAGAUAUUCGGCGGAACACCAGUGGCGAAGGCGACUCACUGGCCCGAUACUGACGCUGAGGCGCGAAGGCGUGGGGAGCAAACAGGAUUAGAUACCCUGGUAGUCCACGCCGUAAAACGAUGAGUGCUAGUUGUCGGCAUGCAUGCAUGUCGGUGACGCAGCUAACGCAUUAAGCACUCCGCCUGGGGAGUACGGUCGCAAGAUUAAAAACUCAAAGGAAUUGAC